UGUUAUUCAAGUAGAGUUUUUAUUAAGUAUCAAAGAGGAUCAAAUGUUUGCUUCUCCAAGUAUUUCAAACAAACCAAAUACUAUUUUUCCUCAAAUUAAUAAUCACAUGACCAUCAGUGAUUACAGUUUUCAUUCACAGAGUUGUUUGUUUUUUCAUAAAGACGCCAAAUCCUGCUUUCAAACUUUAUUGGAAGGCUGAUAAGCUUGUUGCAUAUCUGUGAAAAUACAUGCUUGAAGGAAAUAAAAUAACAAAAAGCACCGUUAAUUUAAACAAUCUUUGUGAUCUGUUGAUUUCCAUCACAUUACGUAGAGGGAUUUCAGCAUAAAGGCAAUAUUUUACAUCAUAUUUUAAGCAUACAGCUUAGUUAACACAAGGUUACAAAAUGAAUGCUUAUUGAACAGUUUCAGGUAAAGCCCAGCGGGAGGCAGUAUAAGGCUGGCCCUUCAAUCCACAUAUCCACUUUUUUUAUAUAUAUAUUUUUUAUCUGUCCAGAAGCGGUUCGCUCUUCACAUUGUUUCAGUGCAGUGAAAGGUCAUAGUGCUCACAGGACAGGAAGGCCCUCCCCCAUAGGCCAGUGCUCUUCCUGUUCUCCUCUCUGAGACACCUGAGCAGCAUAAUGUGGCUCAGGCACUUUUUUUUUUAGAUGGUGUCAUCUAAAUGCUCGUGCAGCCUUUCUCCUCUGUUAUUGUGCCUGUACCUCCUGAAAAGAAACCAAGUGUUCAAUUUAGUGCAGCAACAGUGACAAACUGUACACUGGCUCGAGUAAAAAUGACAAUUGUUUUGUCAGCAGACGCAGGCUGGCCUGUCACGCCUCAUGUUUGCACAGUAUUGUGUGGGAGGACACCGUGUCACAUUUUGCUGUUUCAUUCUGUACCAUCACCUUUUUUUUUUUUUCCUUGUCGUUUUCUAAAGCAUCCACUACCAGUGUCUUAUUUUCUCGCUGCAUAUGGCUUUAUCAACUGAGCAUAGCCUGAAAUGAGAUUUGUGCUUGUGUCUGCCAGUGACUGUGUGCCUUACCGUACCUCCACAGCAGAAAUGCGAGCACUCCUCCUAAACUCAGCAGGAGCAGGAGACAGACUACAGCUGCCGUCGCACUUCUGUUCUCGGUCUCACAAGGUGCUGUCAACCAGGAAAAAACAGCCGAUGAGAGGAGGAACAAAGAAAAACAAACCCAAAGAAACAGAAAAAACAGAGGUCAUCUAGCAUGGCUGUUCUUAGAGGGCAAAGAGGUCCCCUGCAACAACUCCACACAGUCACUAAACUGACUGGAACACCAAGGGAUAACAGGAGGCAUCCUAAAAUACCCUGACUGUCGCUGGAUCAUCAUGCCUCUUGGCAGAUACGAGGAAUUGCAUUUGUCUUGCCUGUUUAGCAGCAGUGGUAGCGGCAGUGGCAGUAGUGUUGGUAGUGAUUUAUUGAUUGCACUCUGGAAAAUCCUUUAUCACUGAAACACCACCGGUGAUACAAUACACAGAACAGAACAGAAGCGCAAUCAGGACACAGCUUCAAUAGACACAAUGCAUUAUGUACAGGAGUCCGAUUCCUGAAUAUCCAUGACACAGCACGGUGGGCUUUAAAUAAAGUGUCAACAGGCGUAGCCACCUUUACAUCGAACCGCCUGCUCCAGCCAAAUGGGGAUCAAGCAUUGAGUUUUUUAAUCUCAUGUGGAGAAAUGUGGAUUUACAUCCCAAGUAAAUGCAGUAUGACCAUGAAAAAAGUGCUGCAUUACAAGUCAAAGAUAACUCUGACUUAAGUCCACGAGAGUAUAUUUUUAUAUAUAAACACAAAAAGUAAAGAAAUUUGUAUUUGGUAGAUUAUUUCUUGCCAAUAAAUCGUACACCUUGAAAAACCUGCUUAUUUAAAUGAAGCCAUGUUUGUAAGGAAAAUGCGU
Molecule: long non-coding RNA, 1892 nt
Organism: Astatotilapia calliptera (eastern happy)
Lineage: Eukaryota; Metazoa; Chordata; Actinopteri; Cichliformes; Cichlidae
Source: Ensembl